This 558-nucleotide long non-coding RNA is filed under the name Olea europaea subsp. europaea. The record is from RNAcentral. Lineage: Eukaryota; Viridiplantae; Streptophyta; Magnoliopsida; Lamiales; Oleaceae.
CGUCUCUCGGCCGUGAAGAAAUCUCGAAUUGGAAGCUAUCUGCACUGUCUUUAGUAUUUUCACCAUAUCUCCCUCAUACGAUGUCAUAUUGAGCUGAUUCAAGAGGCCUUGGAAAGAUAAUUUAACGUGCUACAAUUUCUCCUGAAAUAGAGAUUUUGAAAUUCCCACGUUUUCCAAAUGAAAAAUGGCUCCCAAUCCAAGGCUGAAAAUAUGACGAAUUGACGAGGCGAAUUCGGGAUUGAUUUUUUCUUUCCUUGUGAAGAUGGCUUGAAAGAGAGCAAGUAUAAGGAGUUUAAGAGGGGGAAAAAGAGGAUUUUCGACAAAGGAGCCUGGAAAGCAAGGUGGAUCGAUUCUUUCUCUUCUUUUUUUUUGGCUAUCAAGAGGAGUAAGCUACACCAAGCAAACUGCAGACCAUAUUUACAGAGUUUUUUUUUUCCCUUCCAAUCUCUUUCAGUUUCUUAAUGUUUAUGUUAAACUCUUUAAUUAAGUUUUUCUUCAUUUUAGUAUGAAUUAAUUUCUACCUUCUAGAGUUUGUGAUUUAGCCUAAUUAUGAUUAUG